GACGAACGCUGGCGGCGUGCUUAACACAUGCAAGUCGAACGGAAAGGCCCUGCUUUUGUGGGGUGCUCGAGUGGCGAACGGGUGAGUAACACGUGAGUAACCUGCCCUCGACUUUGGGAUAACUUCAGGAAACUGGGGCUAAUACCGGAUAGGAGCUCCUGCUGCAUGGUGGGGGUUGGAAAGUUUCGGCGGUGGGGGAUGGACUCGCGGGUUAUCAGCUUGUUGGUGGGGUUGUGGCUUACCAAGGCUUUGACGGGUAGCCGGCCUGAGAGGGUGACCGGCCACAUUGGGACUGAGGUACGGCCCAGACUCCUACGGGAGGCAGCAGUGGGGAGUAUUGCACAAUGGGCGGAAGCCUGAUGCAGCAACGCCGCGUGCGGGAUGACGGCCUUCGGGUUGUAAACCGCUUUCGCCUGUGACGAAGCGUGAGUGACGGUAAUGGGUAAAGAAGCACCGGCUAACUACGUG
RNAcentral lists this ribosomal RNA (468 nucleotides) under uncultured bacterium. RNAcentral's name for it is "partial 16S ribosomal RNA". It matches the Rfam family "Bacterial small subunit ribosomal RNA", at positions 28 to 507 of the family's 1533-position model. The record is from RNAcentral.